Non-coding RNA from Schizosaccharomyces pombe (fission yeast), 1686 nucleotides. NCBI's taxonomy places the organism in Eukaryota, Fungi, Ascomycota, Schizosaccharomycetes, Schizosaccharomycetales, Schizosaccharomycetaceae. The record is from the annotation of a GenBank genome assembly.
ACACAAACGUGUUUUUUUACACAUGGGUUUACAAGAUUUCGACUCUUUAUUUCAAAUAUACAAGUACCUAAACUAUGGUUUUAAAAUUUAGUCAAUGUAAUACAUAGUGGAGAAAGUACAGCCAGACAUUGUAGACGUAAUUUGUUGAGUUAGCUCUUCGGAAGUUUUAAACUAACCAAAUUAAUUUUUAGACAUAGUAUUGUUUAUUAACAUCUAUACAAAACUAUUUUGAAUAUUUCCCAAAAUCGACCUUUUACCACUUUUCUUCAUGAAUCACUUAAGCUUCAGCUUUCCGCAAUCGAAAGUGAAGGAUAUCCGUUUUACCUGGGACAAUAACAUCAGAUUCGCCGACGUUUCCAUUUACACCCACAAUAGACAUUGCUUCUCCACCCAAUACCAUUUGAGAUACCUGUCCAGCAGUCGUUCCUUGCUUCACUAAGAUGCAAUCUCUGAAAACACCUUCAUUAGGAGAGUUUGCAAAAUUGUGAACGUUUUUAACGGGAAAAACUGGAAUCAAAUUUAAAAGUUCCAUUGCCUUUGCUAAAACAUUACAAACUCCAGUUGAACCGUGUCGAAAUAAUACCAUGUCUUGGAGGUCUGCGAUACGGGUUUUAAGAUUUUCGCUCAAAGGUUUCAAGCCAGAGUCAGGAAAAUCGUCUAGCGUAUCAACAAAUUCAGAGCCCUCCUCGUACUUAACAAACCCCUGUUUUGCCAAUCUUCGAAGAAAAACUUCGGAUAUGGCUGAAGCCAGUACGAGUCGAUUUGGAUCUUCUUUUCUAGCUAUUUUAGAUAUAUUUGCAUCCGCAUCAGGAUGAUCAAUUUUGUUAAGAGCAAUAACGGUAGGAAACUUGAUAUCAACGAAUCUGUUAACCACUUUUUCAAUUGUAUCAUCAUCCCAUUUCUCCAAAGGUGUAUCUAAAUGUAGCGAAUCUAAGACUUUAGCUGUAACAGCAGGGGUACUUCCAUAUCCAGAAAACUGGGAUUGUAGUGUAUUGACAGGAUUGGCUUUCGUAGCAAUAUGCCUACGAACUAUAUUAGGCCAUUUCUCUCUCAGAUUGUUUCCGAUCCAUGCAGUUAUUUCCUUAUACAACCAAGCGAUAUCUACAGAAGGAUCAUAUCCACGACACACUUUUCCUUCCGCAUCAGUAGUACCUGAGACAUCUACCACAUGGACCAAAGCAUCGGCAUGCCGUAAAUCGUCUAAAAAUUUAUUGCCAAGCCCCUUUCCAGCAUGCGCACCUGGAAUAAGACCAGCUACAUCAAGCAGCUGAAUAGGAAUUGAACGUACACCAUUUUUGCAACCACCAUAAAUUGGUUUACAUUUGUCCUGUAGUCCAAAUCUUGAGCACGCGCAUUCUAUUUGAGCAUAGCCAAUAGCCCGGUUUGGCUCAAUAGUGGUAAAAGGGAAAUUACCAGUUUUAGCAGUGGCAUCUGUCAACGCAUUCAGCAUCGUAGAUUUACCACUGGAGGGCUUGCCAACAAAUCCAAUUAAAAUGUCUCUACCCAUUAUUUGGAAACCUUAGAAGAAGUAUGUGAGAAAAAUUGGUACUGAAAUCCAGGACCUACUCGUACUCUGCAAUCUGAGAAUUAGAGUAGUGGUAAGGGUCGAGUGUUUCGUAAUACCUGCUUUUAGGACUAAAGAUUUAAAGGAUUGUUUGCUUGCACAUUUAUAAUAUUUUUUUUUUA